Molecule: ribosomal RNA, 1108 nt
Filed under: Escherichia coli
Lineage: Bacteria; Pseudomonadati; Pseudomonadota; Gammaproteobacteria; Enterobacterales; Enterobacteriaceae
Description: bacterial LSU rRNA
Rfam family: Bacterial large subunit ribosomal RNA
Source: RNAcentral
CAUAGGUUAAUGAGGCGAACCGGGGGAACUGAAACAUCUAAGUACCCCGAGGAAAAGAAAUCAACCGAGAUUCCCCCAGUAGCGGCGAGCGAACGGGGAGCAGCCCAGAGCCUGAAUCAGUGUGUGUGUUAGUGGAAGCGUCUGGAAAGGCGCGCGAUACAGGGUGACAGCCCCGUACACAAAAAUGCACAUGCUGUGAGCUCGAUGAGUAGGGCGGGACACGUGGUAUCCUGUCUGAAUAUGGGGGGACCAUCCUCCAAGGCUAAAUACUCCUGACUGACCGAUAGUGAACCAGUACCGUGAGGGAAAGGCGAAAAGAACCCCGGCGAGGGGAGUGAAAAAGAACCUGAAACCGUGUACGUACAAGCAGUGGGAGCACGCUUAGGCGUGUGACUGCGUACCUUUUGUAUAAUGGGUCAGCGACUUAUAUUCUGUAGCAAGGUUAACCGAAUAGGGGAGCCGAAGGGAAACCGAGUCUUAACUGGGCGUUAAGUUGCAGGGUAUAGACCCGAAACCCGGUGAUCUAGCCAUGGGCAGGUUGAAGGUUGGGUAACACUAACUGGAGGACCGAACCGACUAAUGUUGAAAAAUUAGCGGAUGACUUGUGGCUGGGGGUGAAAGGCCAAUCAAACCGGGAGAUAGCUGGUUCUCCCCGAAAGCUAUUUAGGUAGCGCCUCGUGAAUUCAUCUCCGGGGGUAGAGCACUGUUUCGGCAAGGGGGUCAUCCCGACUUACCAACCCGAUGCAAACUGCGAAUACCGGAGAAUGUUAUCACGGGAGACACACGGCGGGUGCUAACGUCCGUCGUGAAGAGGGAAACAACCCAGACCGCCAGCUAAGGUCCCAAAGUCAUGGUUAAGUGGGAAACGAUGUGGGAAGGCCCAGACAGCCAGGAUGUUGGCUUAGAAGCAGCCAUCAUUUAAAGAAAGCGUAAUAGCUCACUGGUCGAGUCGGCCUGCGCGGAAGAUGUAACGGGGCUAAACCAUGCACCGAAGCUGCGGCAGCGACGCUUAUGCGUUGUUGGGUAGGGGAGCGUUCUGUAAGCCUGCGAAGGUGUGCUGUGAGGCAUGCUGGAGGUAUCAGAAGUGCGAAUGCUGACAUAAGUAACG